This 401-nucleotide transfer-messenger RNA is filed under the name bacterium. It matches the Rfam family "transfer-messenger RNA". Rfam says of the family: Bacterial tmRNA, also known as 10Sa RNA or SsrA, is named for its dual tRNA and mRNA-like properties. Its role is to liberate the mRNA from a stalled ribosome. The record is from RNAcentral.
GGGGGUGCCGGGAUUCGAUGGGUGUUCGUUCCACAUCCAGCAGGCCGAGGGGGCGCAGAACCUCGUAAAUCUCACUGCGCACGAAAGCCAAGUGUCAAUGCUUUCCAUCGAGCAAAGGAAGCGGUCGCGAAUGCGUUCCGCAUGCCAAUGCUUGCUUCGGCGAUCGCGUAAGCGUAUUGCCCAUCCGAAUUGCCAAUGCUCGAUAGGCAAACCUCGGGUGUUAUACCUUCGAGCUGGUCGUGCCAUGCGCCCCAAUGGUGCGACGAGAUGACGCGGGCUCAUCGCGUGCGCAUUUCGUCCUGUUCGAGCGGACGCGAGACAUCAUCAACAGGACUGUGCCUGGAGAAGGACGCGGUCAACGUGCAUUCCACACAGGGGUUCAACUCCCCUCACCUCCACUG